GACGAACGCUGGCGGCGUGCUUAACACAUGCAAGUCGAACGGAAAGGCCCUGCUUUUGUGGGGUGCUCGAGUGGCGAACGGGUGAGUAACACGUGAGUAACCUGCCCUUGACUUUGGGAUAACUUCAGGAAACUGGGGCUAAUACCGGAUAGGAGCUCCUGCUGCAUGGUGGGGGUUGGAAAGUUUCGGCGGUUGGGGAUGGACUCGCGGCUUAUCAGCUUGUUGGUGGGGUAGUGGCUUACCAAGGCUUUGACGGGUAGCCGGCCUGAGAGGGUGACCGGCGACAUUGGGACUGAGAUACGGCCCAGACGCCUACGGUAGGCAGCAGUGGGGAAUAUGGCACAAUGGGCGGAAGCCUGAUGCAGCAACGCCGCGUGCGGGAUGACGGCCUUCGGGUUGUAAACCGCUUUCGCCUGUGACGAAGCGUGAGUGACGGUAAUGGGUAAAGAAGCACCGGCUAACUGCGUG
This 468-nucleotide ribosomal RNA is filed under the name uncultured bacterium. RNAcentral describes it as "partial 16S ribosomal RNA". It matches the Rfam family "Bacterial small subunit ribosomal RNA", at positions 28 to 507 of the family's 1533-position model. The record is from RNAcentral.